RNAcentral lists this ribosomal RNA (253 nucleotides) under uncultured bacterium. RNAcentral describes it as "partial 16S ribosomal RNA". It matches the Rfam family "Bacterial small subunit ribosomal RNA", at positions 524 to 776 of the family's 1533-position model. The record is from RNAcentral.
UACGGAGGGUGCAAACGUUGCUCGGAAUCAUUGGGCGUAAAGGGUGCGUAGGCGGCGCGGUAAGUCGGGUGUGAAAUCUCGGAGCUUAACUCCGAAACUGCAUUCGAUACUGCCGUGCUUGAGGACUGGAGAGGAGACUGGAAUUUACGGUGUAGCGGUGAAAUGCGUAGAUAUCGUAAGGAAGACCAGUGGCGAAGGCGGGUCUCUGGACAGUUCCUGACGCUGAGGCACGAAGGUCAGGGGAGCAAACGGG